ACCCAUUGCUCUCUCUGGGUCUCAUCCAAAGCACACGGAAAUCAAAAUGUCCUUUCCUGCUGACUUCAACAGCCUUUGGAACAUACCUAGCAUGUCCCCUUACUAAAAGUCAUUGCACUUUAAGGGUUAUAGGGCUGCUGUCAGGCUGCUCUUAAUGCAUAGAAAAUCCUGCUAUUUCACAGGCCCUGAUGUUAAUUACAUCAGCUGUAAUUGUUCAGAGCCAGAGCCUCCUCACCGCAUCUUUACUGUGUCAAUAAACACAGGUUUCAGCAGUGGCUUAGAGGAGAAGGGGGUGACCAGGGAGGGUCUGCAUGGCCCUGGGUAGAUGCAGAAGACAAGGAGCAAGGCCAGAAGUUUUCAGCGAUGCUGGCUGGUGGCAGUGGUCCGACAUUUAUUUUUAUCUGGGUCCUCGGUGGAGAUUCCCACAAUUGCAAAGCCAAGUCCAACAGCUGUUGUGGCUAACACUGCUAAAAGUCCUGUGGUUAAGGGGCUGGACUGGGAGUGACUGGACUUGUUCAAGUUCCAGCUAUGCUACAGGUUUCCUGGGUAACCUCGAGCAAGACAUCUAACCUGUCUUUGUGACUAUAAGAAUAUUUCAAGUCUUCAAAAAGCCAAGGAGAUAUAGUCCUGAGUUAGCUUGAGAUUUAGGAAGACAACUGUGUUUUUACUAGAAUGUCACUUUGAGUUUAUUUCUGUAAUGUGUCACUCACAACCGACUUUCAGGAUCAUGGUGUUUUUUUGUUCUUACAGAUUAAGCCCUUUGGCCACUGUUUCCUUUUGAAAAUCAUACAUAUUUCGAGCUUUAAAUGUGCUGUUAAGUUUGUAACCCAGUCAUGAAGAGAAAAGGAGAAUGCAAAUUUAGGAAAGAAAUUCCACAUAUGAAUGAGGAGAUGUGCUUGUUUCCAACUGUCCUUAUCCAUCUGCCAUUAACUCUCUCUAAUAAUGUUUGAUUACUGCAGAUAUUAAGGACUGUUCCAUUGUGCUGCAUGCUGUACAAAACAGAGUAAAGCAAAGCCUCUACUGCAAAACUUUUCAGAAGGAAAACCAAGCACAGGAUUGGAUCUUCUCAUUCAGAACCUAGUUACAACCAAAAUACAAUAUUACUUGUUUGCACCAGAUGAGGAGCUGGUCCAAAGUUCUAUAGAGAACCACUGGAAGCCAAAAUAGCCACCAAACUCCCCC
This 1182-nucleotide long non-coding RNA is filed under the name Anser cygnoides (Swan goose). RNAcentral describes it as "lncRNA (ENSACDG00005018554.1)". The record is from RNAcentral. Lineage: Eukaryota; Metazoa; Chordata; Aves; Anseriformes; Anatidae.